CUCCGUUCUAAGACAGCAGGCAGUAGGCCAGCCCUUCAUGUUUUUAAACAGUCAGUCCUGCUUUUCUAAGGGACUGAAAUGCUUUGGUCUAACUAAAGUCUUGGGGUAUCUGGGUGGAAAUGAACAGCCUGUGACAUAGAGAAGAGUGUCCGCCAAGAGGGCCGUGGAAAUGCCCUAGAAGAACAAGAGGAGAGGUGUUUGAAGCUACUGUGCAAAAAUCUCUGACCCAAGGGGAGCCUUUUGGCCAUGGGACCUGAACACACUAAGAAGAGCUUGUUGCACGGGCAGAGAGACAAGGCCUGAAGCUUGAGCAGAAGAGGAGGGUCUUGGGACCCUCAAAGGACUGAUCAAAACCCACAGGGUUCUCAGUGCUGGGAGGACAUUACGGGGAGGGGUUUGAAUGCAGAUGUUUGAAUAUAGCUG
Long non-coding RNA from Mauremys mutica (yellowpond turtle), 423 nucleotides. RefSeq lists it as uncharacterized. NCBI's taxonomy places the organism in Eukaryota, Metazoa, Chordata, Testudines, Geoemydidae. The transcript is spliced from 3 exons. The record is from RefSeq and is a predicted model, not a curated record.